UUCCUACGGGUGGCAGCAGUAGGGAAUAUUGCACAAUGGGCGAAAGCCUGAUGCAGCAACGCCGCGUGCGCGAUGACGGCCUUCGGGUUGUAAAGCGCUUUUCGGGGAGAUGAGGAAGGACAGUAUCCCCGGAAUAAGGCUCGGCUAACUACGUGCCAGCAGCCGCGGUAACACGUAGGAGCCAAGCGUUAUCCGAAUUCACUGGGCGUAAAGCGCGUGUAGGCGGCUUAUUAAGUUGGAUGUGAAAGCUCCCGGCGCAACUGGGAGAGGACGUUGAAGACUGGUAGGCUAGAGGGCGACAGAGGGAGGUGGAAUUCCCGGUGUAGUGGUGAAAUGCGUAGAUAUCGGGAGGAACACCAGUGGCGAAGGCGGCCUCCUGGGUCGCACCUGACGCUCAGACGCGAAAGCUAGGGGAGCGAACGGGAUUAGAUACCCCUGUAGUCGC
RNAcentral lists this ribosomal RNA (445 nucleotides) under uncultured bacterium. RNAcentral describes it as "bacterial SSU rRNA". It matches the Rfam family "Bacterial small subunit ribosomal RNA", at positions 336 to 797 of the family's 1533-position model. The record is from RNAcentral.